AUUGAACGCUGGCGGCAGGCCUAACACAUGCAAGUCGAACGGUAACAGAAAGCAGCUUGCUGCUUUGCUGACGAGUGGCGGACGGGUGAGUAAUGUCUGGGAAACUGCCUGAUGGAGGGGGAUAACUACUGGAAACGGUAGCUAAUACCGCAUAACGUCGCAAGACCAAAGAGGGGGACCUUCGGGCCUCUUGCCAUCGGAUGUGCCCAGAUGGGAUUAGCUAGUAGGUGGGGUAACGGCUCACCUAGGCGACGAUCCCUAGCUGGUCUGAGAGGAUGACCAGCCACACUGGAACUGAGACACGGUCCAGCCUCCUACGGGAGGCAGCAGUGGGGAAUAUUGCACAAUGGGCGCAAGCCUGAUGCAGCCAUGCCGCGUGUAUGAAGAAGGCCUUCGGGUUGUAAAGUACUUUCAGCGGGGAGGAAGGGAGUAAAGUUAAUACCUUUGCUCAUUGACGUUACCCGCAGAAGAAGCACCGGCUAACUCCGUG
Molecule: ribosomal RNA, 490 nt
Filed under: uncultured bacterium
Lineage: Bacteria
Description: partial 16S ribosomal RNA
Rfam family: Bacterial small subunit ribosomal RNA
Source: RNAcentral